GUAGGUGGCAAGCGUUGUCCGGAAUUAUUGGGCGUAAAGCGCGCGCAGGCGGUUCUUUAAGUCUGAUGUGAAAGCCCACGGCUCAACCGUGGAGGGUCAUUGGAAACUGGAGAACUUGAGUACAGAAGAGGAAAGCGGAAUUCCACGUGUAGCGGUGAAAUGCGUAGAGAUGUGGAGGAACACCAGUGGCGAAGGCGGCUUUCUGGUCUGUAACUGACGCUGAGGCGCGAAAGCGUGGGGGAGCAAACAGGAUUAGAUACCCUGGUAGUCCACGCCGUAAACGAUGAGUGCUAAGUGUUAGGGGGUUUACCCGCCCCUUAGUGCUGCAGCUAACGCAUUAAGCACUCCGCCUGGGAGUACGGCGCAGGCUG
RNAcentral lists this ribosomal RNA (371 nucleotides) under uncultured organism. Its description in RNAcentral is "partial 16S ribosomal RNA". It matches the Rfam family "Bacterial small subunit ribosomal RNA", at positions 527 to 896 of the family's 1533-position model. The record is from RNAcentral.